CUCUUGUGAUUCUUCUGUGAGCUGCAUAAUCUAUGAACGUGUUGGCACACAAAAGUGUGUGCUAAUUAAUAGAUUCAUUAUCACAAUGUGAUACACAUCACCAAAUUUUUACAUUGUCUUUGAUCCAACAGUCACUGGCAGCGUUACAAUGCACGGCAGACUAAGGACGGUGAAGUUCCCUGGAAGGAGGGCAAAGGAGAGGGUUUUGUCUCAAGCCAAAACACCAUCUCAGGGGGAGAUGUUCCAGCAACACAAACAUUUGGCUGGCAAGACAGUGGUGGACAGAUGGUAAAGAUGGGGUGCAGCCCAAAGCCCGACAGAGCCUGCCAGGCAUCGUAUCAGCCACCAUGAACACAAAGGUGCGUGAAGUCACCCUGUGGGGAAGAAACCGUUUCCCAAGAGAACUGCAAGACAAGCUGCUGGAUUUUUUUUUGUCUUCAAAAGCCACCAAACUAAGCUAGCAAAACAGAUGAGAGGAAAAGACAGAGUUUAAAUUUGCAGGGAGAUCCCUUGCAUC
RNAcentral lists this long non-coding RNA (517 nucleotides) under Calidris pugnax (ruff). RNAcentral's name for it is "lncRNA (ENSCPUG00000003233.1)". Lineage: Eukaryota; Metazoa; Chordata; Aves; Charadriiformes; Scolopacidae. The record is from RNAcentral.